This 80-nucleotide transfer RNA is filed under the name Dallia pectoralis (Alaska blackfish). Its description in RNAcentral is "tRNA-Leu". It matches the Rfam family "tRNA". Rfam says of the family: Transfer RNA (tRNA) molecules are approximately 80 nucleotides in length. Their secondary structure includes four short double-helical elements and three loops (D, anti-codon, and T loops). The record is from RNAcentral. Lineage: Eukaryota; Metazoa; Chordata; Actinopteri; Esociformes; Umbridae.
GUCGGGAUGGCCGAGCGGUCUAAGGCUCUGCGUUCAGGUCGCAGUCUCCUGGAGCGUUGGUUCGAAUCCCACUUCUGACA